AACGAACGCUGGCGGCGUGCUUAACACAUGCAAGUCGAACGCGAAAGGGACUUCGGUCCUGAGUAAAGUGGCGCACGGGUGAGUAACGCGUAGAUAACCUGUCUUCAUGUCUGGAAUAAUACGCCGAAAGGGGUACUAAUACCGGAUAUCCUUGCUUUUCAUAAGUUAUGCAAGCAAAGGUGGCCUCUGCAUAUGCUACUGCAUGAAGAGGGGUCUGCGUACCAUUAGCUAGUAGGUGGGGUAAUGGCCUACCUAGGCGACGAUGGUUAGCGGGUCUGAGAGGAUGAUCCGCCACACUGGCACUGGAACACGGGCCAGACUCCUACGGGAGGCAGCAGUGAGGAAUAUUGCGCAAUGGGGGAAACCCUGACGCAGCGACGCCGCGUGAGUGAGGAAAAGGCCUUCGGGUCGUAAAGCUCUGUCAAGAGGAAAGAAGUGUACAAUGGCUAAUACCUGUUGUAUUUGACGGUACCUCUAAAGGAAGCACCGGCUAACUCCGUGCCAGCAGCUGC
Molecule: ribosomal RNA, 512 nt
Filed under: uncultured bacterium
Lineage: Bacteria
Description: bacterial SSU rRNA
Rfam family: Bacterial small subunit ribosomal RNA
Source: RNAcentral